This is a long non-coding RNA of Struthio camelus australis, 1172 nucleotides long. RefSeq lists it as uncharacterized. Lineage: Eukaryota; Metazoa; Chordata; Aves; Struthioniformes; Struthionidae. The record is from RefSeq and is a predicted model, not a curated record.
CUUGGGGAUUUUGAGGGCUGGUGCUAAAGAAAGGUAACAAGCCAUUUCCAUGCCUUCUUUUGAUUUGUUUUCCCCACCCAAAGGUGUAGGUGAAGAGGACUACAGCUGCUGUUUUGGUUACUUCUUCUUGGAUUGCUUCUACAGCAGCUUGUUAAACGCUGACAGCCAGCAUGAUGUCGCACAAGACAUGAGAAAAGACAGCAGGAAAAUUCAGAAGGAACGUAACUAAGGACGUGUCCUCCACGGUAACCAGACAGCAGAUAAAAGUGGCAAAUUCCUGUGACUCGCAUCAGCUUGGUAUUCUCUGGUUAUUCAAGGACUAAGUUCUGUUUCACUGAGUCCAAUUGCAAAGUUUCCGUUUGCCCUCAGAUUCAGCGUCUUGGAUUCAUAAACGCAAUAUUCAUCGAAAGUGGGGGAGCCAGCUAACUUAUAUCAAGAAAAUUGACCCACGGCCUGCAAGCCUCAAGUUCCUGUUUACGUGGGCAAAGAGAAGCAAGCGCUGGCAGCGAAGCAGGGGGAAGCGCAGGGCCAGGGCAGCCUCCUCCCUCCGUACACCGUCGCACCUACGCAACCCUUCUGCGCCCGGAUGCACGUUGAUGGCGCUGGCCCUGGUCAAAGGCUGAGCUUGGAGAGGUCCCCAGGACAGUUUUGGCGGACGGGUGACUUCCACGUGGGGCAGAGAGACUGGCGUGGCUCUCCUGAGAGCACCCGAGGCGGACCGGCGAGAUCCCCAGGUUGGUUACGCUCCGUGUUCCCGUCUCCCCUCUGGUUUUGGGCGAGCGCCUUCCCGCUGCACAGCUUUGGGGCUUUCUGUCGUCCCCCUGCGGAUGUGGCCCCAGCAUCGCCCAGUGCAGCCGCGGUGGCUGGAGUCCUCAGGGUCUCCAAGGAAGACCAGCAACGUGCUUCUGCCAACGCAACAUACUUUGUAUAUGUGUGAAAUAAGAAUAAAUGGCUUCUCAGCUAUGGAACAAGUUUUUGGCGUACAGAUGCCUGAAUGUAUGCGUUCCUCGGAGAGCUGGAAUUUCUUCCAGGCAGCGAGUCCCGUCAGCUGUUGCACAGAUGUUGCUGUCGGAAGCGCUGACAGAUAGGGAGACUCAGCAAGCACCACGUAAGAAAUUCCUUGUCUGUUUGCCUAGUGUACAGCCCCUCUAGUGGGCUUCGUACAAAACUCU